Molecule: transfer RNA, 72 nt
Filed under: Ovis aries (sheep)
Lineage: Eukaryota; Metazoa; Chordata; Mammalia; Artiodactyla; Bovidae
Rfam family: tRNA
About the family: Transfer RNA (tRNA) molecules are approximately 80 nucleotides in length.
Source: Rfam by way of RNAcentral
UCCCUGGUGGCUCAGAGGUUAAAGCAUCUGCCUACAUUGCAGGAGACCUGGGUUCGAUCCCUGGGUUGGGAA